This is a non-coding RNA of Caretta caretta (loggerhead turtle), 3544 nucleotides long. The record is from RefSeq and is a predicted model, not a curated record. Lineage: Eukaryota; Metazoa; Chordata; Testudines; Cheloniidae.
GCAUCCAGCUCUCUGAUAGGCCGGGCAGGCUGGGCCAAUGAGAGGCCGUGGUGUUGGGGGGCCGUGUCCCCCACGUGUUGUGGGGAGCGAGCCGCGGAGCGCCGCGAGCUGCCGGCAUGUUGCGCCGCGAGGCCCGGCAGCGCCGGGAGUAUCUGCACCGGCGGGCGCAGGAGGAUCGGAUCCGCGCCAGCGAGAGCAAGAAGCAGCGACUCAAGCAGGCGCUGGAGGAGAAUCGGCUGCUGCCCACGGAGCUGCGUCGGGAGGCUCUGGCACUGCAGAAGUCCAUCGAGUUUGAUGACCAGGGAGCAGAAGGGCUGGUGACGCAGCAGGACGAUGAGUAUCGCUGGGCGGGCGUGGAGGACCCCAAGGUGAUGAUCACGACCUCGCGCGACCCCAGCUCCCGCCUCAAGAUGUUCGCCAAGGAGAUGAAGCUGGUGGUGCCGGGCGCCCAGCGCAUGAACCGGGGGCGACACGAGGUGGGGGCCCUGCUCCGGGCCUGCAAGGCCAAUGGCGUCACGGACCUGCUGGUGCUGCAUGAACACCGAGGGCAGCCGGACGGACUGAUCGUCUCCCACCUGCCCUUCGGCCCCACAGCGUUCUUCACCCUCUGCAAUGUGGUGAUGCGUCACGAGGUCCCCGACAUCGGCACCAUGUCCGAGGCCAACCCCCACCUGAUCUUCCACAACUUCACCUCCCACCUGGGCCAGAGGGUCUGCAGCAUCCUCAAGUACCUCUUCCCGGUGCCCAAGGAGGACAGCAAGCGGGUCAUCACCUUCGCCAACCAGGACGAUUACAUCUCCUUCAGGCACCACGUUUAUAAGAAGACGGACCAUCGCAACAUCGAGCUGUCUGAGGUGGGGCCGCGCUUCGAGAUGAAACGCUACAUUGGCAGCUGCUGCAGUAUUUAGGUCCGGGCUGCCCCAGAGGUGGCUACAUCCCAGCACCUGGCGAGCCCUCCCUGGGCAGUGUUACAUGCGGCUGCUCCCCCCGCUGCCGCACGCCCGAGGUGGCUGCAUCUGGCCGGUCACUCACCGACGAUGUCGAAAAUGCUGAAAUUCGGGGGGAUGCUCUGAAAAACGGGAGAAGGCUCGUGAGUCCGGCAGGGGGCAGCCGCGGGUCAGACACACGCCCACGCACGGACCUAUGCUCACGGACACACACGGUACCUGCUGGAGGAGGAGGUGUCUCACGUGCUCCAGGAUGCAGAUCACGCCGGUCCGGCCACAGCCAGCGCUGCCAAGGGGGAGGAAGCAGGAAGAAAAUGGGGAAGGAAAUUUAUCAACGAGACGGAGCCGGAAGACGAAUUUCUCUCCAUGGUGCAUGUAGCAGUGAAAUGACGCUCGCAUAGUCUUGGGCAUUACCCCGGGCAACGCACUGGCGAGGAAGAGGGACUAGCCGGCCGGCAGAAGAGCGUGUCCGUGUUUCUGUGACUCCCUCAGGUGGCCAGCCUGUCUUGGGAGAAAGUGAGGGAAGAUAACCUCGUAGGAGUGCGUGAAGAGAAGCAGCAGGAAACACAGAAGGUGCUAAGCCCCUUGCAGGAUUUCAGGAGAUGAUGGAGCUUCAGCCCCGUGCCCGGCCUUCAGGCCCCGGCUCGUGAAAUGGCGGCGCGGCAUUCUGCCGUGAAAAGCCUCGCCCGUUGGCUUCCACACGGUCUUGACGGCUCUGAUGGAACGAAAAGAUGAGGCCAUCCUGAUUCCGCACCCAGGGGCCUACGCAUGGCGGAGAGCUUCCCAACAGGGCCGGGGCAGCGCCCGCAGGAUCCUGGAUCUGGGGGCGCGGCCCGAGAGUGGCAUUUUAGGGAGGGGAACGCGAGCGUGGGCAGUUACUGGUGAAAGUGAUGCAUAAAGCCCCUCGUCACACGAGGCCGCGCCGCAGGCCAUGUGGCAAGUGGUGUCCCCCCCGCUUCUGAGUCGUGCCAAGAGCCGCAAACCGAAGCCCCUGGAUUUUGCAAAUCCUGCGGAAGAUUAUGACAAACCUUGUUGCCAGCAGUUUCCGGGAGCCGGUGGCAUCCACGUGGGCAGCUGUCCCAGUCCUGGCGCGGGUCCUACCCUUCGCCAGCGCUCAACAGGAUGGAAUUUAGAGGCCGUCAGAAGAACACGUCCUGUUCUUUCACCAACGUGCCCAUGUAAGGUCUGCCCAACGGGGAUCUAUGUACUUAGUGGAAAGGAACCAGCCCCGACUUGAAGGGUUCAAUCAGGUGGAUAUCUGCGGACCACCGCGGACUGCAUGCAGAUACCAAUUUUAUUUCCAGGCAGGGCUCUAUGGAUCCGGCGCGCUCCCAAGCGUGGCUCAGUGCCACUGAGAAAAGAAAAGGAAUUAUAGGGCGACCAGACAGCAAGUGUGAAAAAUCGGGACGGGGGUAGGGGGUAAUAGGAGCCUAUAUAAGAAAAAGACUCAAAAAUCAGGACAUCUGGUCGCCCAGGUAUCCCAGGAACUGGGGCAGUGCUCAGCAGCCAGGCUCUCGCCUGUAAUCUACGUGCCCAAACCAGAAAACCGUUUGGCCUUGGGCUUGAUCACCAAACAGCUUGCAACCACGCUGCCCCACCGGCGGGAAAGCAGCGCCGCCCCGUGGGGGGAAAUGGAGCGGCUCACGACGCUUCCGAGUAUUCGCAGCGCCGGAUUUGGCUGCACAGACCCAUUCAGGAAACUCUGGGUGCAGAACGAUUUGGCCAGGAGCCACCGAAUCGCUCUGUGCGGGGAACGGGCUGGUGAGGGCGGGGGAGCGUCCGCACCAAAUUCCGCGACCCACUGGAAAAGACGAGGGGCAGGUGCAGCCUAGGAAGUUAGAUCGGCCCAGCUCCAUCACCGGCUUCUGCGCAAGGAACGACGCGACAGACGUGCUCCGCAGUCAAUCAGGAAAAUCAUCGAGGACCGACCUGUUCCGCUCCUUGGCCCAUCCCGGAAAUACCCCCGAUCCGGUGCAGAACUCCAAGCCCACGCUCCGUGGCACACAGCAAUCUUCAGAUCCGGGGCCUCGAAGAAGCCUGCUGCGGGGACAAGCGAGACGCGAGCUGACCCCGCAGAGUAGGCUGAGAGGCUGCGAUACGGUUUCCUGUAUUGGUGGGCGCAGCAAGAAAUCGGCUUGGAGAACAUCCCUGGAGAAACGCGAGUGGCUAAAGGAACUUGCAGAAGGACGACCUACGGAGGGAAACCGGCCUCUCCGCACGAAAGGUCACGGCACCGAUCCCACGCCACCCUCAGGCUGGGCCACACGCAACGGAGAACCGGCACCCACGCGAGUGUCCCUGCAGCCGAUCCCUGGCGGCGGUGUGGAAAUUGCAAACUGUGGAUCCGUAAAUCACAAUGCUGGAGGUGUGGACAAGGCACAUCGGCACGCACCGCAGCCUGCAAAUGCAAGGGGUACGCCGGCACGUAUAGGAACGGUUCAAUUAUGCCUGUCUGAGCAACGUGCGGGGUGCGUCGCGUUCGUAGUGGAAUAAAAACGGCACCGAAAUUUGCUAAUUCCUCAAAUUCUGAGGAACAUCCGAUGAAGUGAGCUGUAGCUCACGAAAGCUCAUGCUCAAAUAAAUUGGUUAGUCUCUAA